Long non-coding RNA from Rosa chinensis, 3280 nucleotides. RefSeq lists it as uncharacterized. The record is from RefSeq and is a predicted model, not a curated record. Lineage: Eukaryota; Viridiplantae; Streptophyta; Magnoliopsida; Rosales; Rosaceae. The transcript has 3 exons.
CACUCAUAAUUAAGAUCAAGUACAACUUCAGCACUUCUGUAGAAAUCGAAAGCUAUAUGGCACCCAUUACUACCAUUCUCUGCUUCAUUCUCUCUCAUUUUCGAUUUCUCUUCACCCCUCAGUACUACUCGCCGACAUUCCACAACGUCGGGUUUGAUCAAAAUCCUGGUUUACACACCCUUGGAGCCUAUCCCUUUCUGUAAGUAAUGCGCAGUUUUGGCGAAAAGAUCCCGGUUAGUUCAUCAAUGUUUCGUCGAGGUGGCGGAGCUAGCUGCAGGUGGUGUUAUGAUUCAGGCCAUAUUAUGUUUUAACAUUCAUGAUCGUGAUCACAUAUUCCCCCUCCUAAUAUAUGAGGUAACUAGCGUUUCUAUGUAUCUUUGUACCCAGUUUCAGUCACUGUUAGACAUAUCCAAUGAGUUAAAUCCCCACCAUGAAGGUUACAGAAAAUAUCCUUUGAAUUGUUCAGAAUGUAAUGAGUUUUACAUCUUUCAGACUGGUUUUCAUUUUGAACUUAGAAUUUUAGAUAUAUACAACUCUCUCCCUCUAAGCAUAAGGAUGAAGUCAUGAAGUUACCCAGAAUAAAAGCAAAGAAACUACUACACACCUAACCAGACCCUAGUUAGGUAUGCCUAACCAUUCACCAGCUUCAAUUGCAAGCUUUAAUUUGUAGGGUUUGCAGUUAAUGAAAAGAGCCAAUGUGGAAAAUUUAGUGGAAAAAAAAGAAAAGAAAAGAAAAAAGAUACACAUGGUGACUUGGUACAAAAAGUGAUUGUGUUUGAGGAUCCAUACCCAGCAACACGCAGAGGUGAAGCCGUCUUGAUCUGUGAGGCUUGCCCCAAUCUAAGCUGUAAUUGAGGUUUGCUACCCACCCUUAUUGAGUGGGGGUCCCUACUAUCCCAAGGGUUAAUGGGCGUGUCUAGCAUGACUUCAACCAGUAGAGUUGGUGAACAAACCAAGACCACCGCAUCUCACCGGGAAAUGUCUCACUCACAAUCAAUCACUUUAAUGCCCUACUUAGUUACAAGCCAACGUUACUUGGCUCGGCGAUAGUAUGAGUGAAUACGCCUUAUUAUAAAUCUAUGUAUUAUCUAUUAUGUUUUCAAUGUGGGACUUUAGUUACCUACUAACCAAUUUGCAUUAUCUCGGCUACUCUCCAAUUUUAUGCAAAGAUUGCUUAAUUUAAAAAUUACAGUACUAGCUCCUAAAUCAUGAAAUUUACGACACCUAAUAAUUUAAACCUUAAGUCAUCUAUAUGAUCCUAGCGAUCAUAACUCAUAUGCACUUCAUGUCUCAUGUUUUCCUCAAGGAUGAUGAGAAUGAAACAAUGGAACUGUACAAAGCAAACAAUCGUUCUGUAUAGUCUCAUUAAUACGACAUUUGGAGGGUUGUCGGAAUCAAACUUUCGUUAGGAAUUGAGAGGAUUUUUCUAACAUUCUUCAGACUGAAAGUGAACUAGCAAAAAUAAUGUAAUAUAUCUGAUGUCUCUUCCAACCCAAAUGAUACUGCACAAGUGGUUGGAUGCCAAUGGAGGCAGCGGGUGACAUUGUCGAAGCCUCGAAGGUGGCUGGGCGUUGCUAGAGGCGGGUGGUGUGGCAGUAGAAGUGGAGGUGAUGCCAAUGGAGGCUGCGUGUAACAUAGUUGGAGGUUGCUGAGAGCCCGAGAUAUUGCUAAAUGUGGGUUAAGUGGUUAACGUAGCUGGAUGGAGGUGGUCCAAAAUGUGUAUACAAGCUUCAUAUAAGGCAAAAAAGAAACAGAGGAAAUCUCUAGCUUGGAAUGGCAUACUUGAUGCUAGACAACUGAUCAUGAAAGUUAUGCGGUGGAUUGUGGGGAUGGUAAGGACAUCAACUUCUUCUAGACCUUCAAUUGGGCACUGGACCAUCCACUGCCCGAUUACAUUCCUGAGAACAGAAGGCACCUUCUGAACCUAGAUGAAACAGUUUCGAAUUACAUUUUGAAUAAAGAUUGGAAUAAGGCAAAGCUUUCUUCUGUCUUGGAGCCUGCCAUUGUCAAUCAGAUUCUUAGCAUCCUCAGGACCUCAUCCCUAUCAUAGAUCAACUAGAGGAGUAUGUUUGGGGACCGACCUCUAAUGGUAAGUUUUCCAUUAAAUCAGCUACUUGGCCACAAAUUUCAAAUUUUCAGAAACAUGAUCAUUUUGAACUUAUCAAUAAGCUUUGGAAGUUGAACAUCCAACCAAAAGUGAAAGUAUUUGGUUGACUUCUUAUCAGAGGAAGACUUAAAACUAGAGCUAGAUUAUCAAGAUUUGGUUCAUUCAUGCCCUCUUUGUCAAGAAGAUAAUGAAACUGCAAACCAUUUGUUUGGUUACAGUAAUGUUGCUAAAACAGUUUGGAACCUAGCUGAGAUUGAACCCCCAGUUAACUGGGAAGAAGGCUACCUUACUGUGUUUAAGGAGCUUUUCUUACAACAACUGUAUUGUGGUACCCUUUAUGAGAAAGUUAUCACUAUCUGUUGGUACCUUUGGAAAGCUCGAAAUGAUGUUGUGUUCAGAGAUGCUAAAGCCAACCCAGGAUCUAUUGUAGCAACUGCUACUGCUACAACAUCUUCCUCAAGCACACAAGCAACGAUUAUUAGAGCUAACAUAUCACCUCCAAACCCAGACAUAAUCAAGUGGCAUGUUCCCUCUGGUGAUCAUGUUAAAAUAAAUUUUGAUGGCUAAGUCCUUAAAGACUCAGCUGUUGGUGGAUUUGUAAUUAGAGACUCCCUUGGAUAUCCUCUCCUAGUAGCCACUCGACAUAUGGGAAGAAUAACAGUUCCAAUUGCAGAAGCUUGUGCUCUCUGUAAUAGCCUUAUAGCUGCUAUUGAGCAAGGCUAUAGGCACAUUGAAGUCGAAGGUGACUCAAAGCUAGUCAUUGAUGCUGUAUGUGGAACCCUAAAGCCACCCUGGAGACUUAUUAAAACGAUUGAAGACAUAAGAAGGCUGGUUGCACAGUUUAACUCCAUUUCCUUCAAGUACGUCUUAAGAGAGGCAAACUUUGUGGCUAACGCAAUAGCUACUCUAGACCAUAAUACUUCUGUUGCUGUAAAUUGGACUAAUAGAGUCACUACUGAGGCUUCGUUUGCUCUACUAUUUGACUUUGUAAACUCUGAUUGUCUCAAAAAUUUUAAUCUUUAAUAGUUAUUUUACCUUAACAGAAAAAAAGGUAUUAAUGACAUUUUCUGUAGUUAUACAUCAGUUUCUUACCGAUCAACGAAAUGAAUUUAAUAAUCGAUACAUUAAACCAUUCAUACGAUUUUCAUAUAUGAAAGAGCGAGAGAGACAGAG